CCUUUCUAUUUGGAUUGGAAAAACAAAGAGUGAACAAGAAAAAGGGUUUUUGUUUGAUAUUCUCUGAAUGAGAGAGAGAAGGGAGUGUCGGAUUGAGUGGUCGGCGCCGGCAGUCUCGCGGUGGGAAAUCGAUGAGAAUCGACGGUGACACCACUGUGAUUUGAGUUGAAGCUAAUGGGUUUGUUAGGUCACGUUUUGAAAGAGGGAGAAAGAAGGAGUGUAACGUGUAA
RNAcentral lists this long non-coding RNA (230 nucleotides) under Medicago truncatula (barrel medic). RNAcentral's name for it is "long non-coding RNA (MTRU_LNC002355)". The record is from RNAcentral. Lineage: Eukaryota; Viridiplantae; Streptophyta; Magnoliopsida; Fabales; Fabaceae.